RNAcentral lists this ribosomal RNA (253 nucleotides) under uncultured bacterium. Its description in RNAcentral is "partial 16S ribosomal RNA". It matches the Rfam family "Bacterial small subunit ribosomal RNA", at positions 524 to 776 of the family's 1533-position model. The record is from RNAcentral.
GACAGAGGUGGCAAGCGUUGUUCGGAAUCAUUGGGCUUAAAGAGCACGUAGGCGGUCCUUCAAGUGUCUUGUGAAAUCCCUCGGCUCAACCGAGGAAUUGCUGGGCAUACUGUGGGACUUGAGGCAGGUAUGGGCGAGUGGAACUCUUGGUGGAGCGGUGGAAUGCGUAGAUAUCAAGAGGAACGCCGGUGGUGAAGACGACUCGCUGGGCCUGUCCUGACGCUGAGGUGCGAAAGCCAGGGGAGCAAACGGG